AUGGGAGAUGAGAGAGGGGUGUUGGCCACCACGGCUGCUAUCUUACACUUUCCUGUUGUACAUUAUUUUGCAUUAUUUGUUGCUAAGUGUCUGCUUGCUAGAAAGAAAGUAGGCGCACUCAGCGCACCACACUUUGCUGUUUUAUGCCGGGCACUAGAGGGUGACAACACUUAUAGCUUGGGAGCUAUUGUGGCUCGUCGCUUGCAUCUUAAUAAAUCUCAGGGUGAAAUACAUGGUGGGAUUUUUUCUACUCGUUUGGCAGCUCACUUCGAGGUUGAGAUACGCCCUCAUGAUUACCUUCUGACUAAGAUUUACCUAGACCUUGCAGCCAUGGAACACCAUCACUUUCUUGCACAUGAUCGUCCUCACAUCGCCUUUCCUUACAACAUGGUCUAUAGCGUUGAAACUCGUGAUGUUAUUCCAUUGCCUACACCUGCUUUGUUUGAUUCUGCUGCCAGGGGUGGAUACUGGAUUAUGCCUGCGGACAUCAUUGCCUACUAG
Molecule: ribosomal RNA, 501 nt
Filed under: Triticum aestivum (bread wheat)
Lineage: Eukaryota; Viridiplantae; Streptophyta; Magnoliopsida; Poales; Poaceae
Description: partial small subunit ribosomal RNA
Source: RNAcentral